AUACUUACCUGGCGUCGAGGAUACCGUGACCAUGAAGGCGGUUCCUCCGGAGUGAGGCUCUUCCAUUGCACUCAAGGUGAGCUGACCUCUGCGAAUAUCCCUAAUGUGGAUAUCUCGGGCGUAAAAUUUUUGGUAGUCGGGAACUGCGUUCGCGCGAUCCCGU
This is a small nuclear RNA of Aphidius gifuensis, 163 nucleotides long. RefSeq annotates it as U1 spliceosomal RNA. The transcript has a single exon. NCBI's taxonomy places the organism in Eukaryota, Metazoa, Arthropoda, Insecta, Hymenoptera, Braconidae. The record is from RefSeq and is a predicted model, not a curated record.